GGCACCUUUUAAUCCCGGGGUGCUGUUGUUUCUCCACAAAUGUUCACGCUCCAGAUCAUGUUUAACGGGAGCUUGGACAACCCCGCGGCGAAGCUUCGCCAGUGCCUUCGCCGCCCGUGAGCAUCACCGGCCUGGCUGCACUGCCGGCCACGCAGGCAGGCACUGCCGCUGCCGCCUGUCCUUGCACGGAAAAGGGGUUUUUCCUCUGUGUUUUCCUUCCUCCAAAGCAGCCUCCAGAGAGCGUAAUAGCGAGCGGUGGCCCUGGAUGCACCUCGGGCAAUGCUGCGUCCUCGGCCGGCGCCUGUGGGUCCUGCUGCUGCCGGCCUGUGACCUCCGCAGGGGCCUUACCGAUGUCCCUGCUGGUUCCCGGUCUGGGUGUGGACGUCCCGGCUGCAGCGACCUUCCUCCUCCUCCUCCUCGCCGCGCGAAGCAGCGGUACGGUGCAGUGUACGCAGACCUGCCCUGCCGGGCUUUGCCUUCCCAGGCUCUGGAGCCUCCCUCAUCCACAGCAGUGAGAUACCGCGCUCUCCUGUUGGUCAUCCCCAAAAUCGAGGAGU
Long non-coding RNA from Dromaius novaehollandiae (emu), 557 nucleotides. RefSeq lists it as uncharacterized. NCBI's taxonomy places the organism in Eukaryota, Metazoa, Chordata, Aves, Casuariiformes, Dromaiidae. The record is from RefSeq and is a predicted model, not a curated record. The transcript has 3 exons.